RNAcentral lists this ribosomal RNA (274 nucleotides) under uncultured bacterium. RNAcentral describes it as "partial 16S ribosomal RNA". It matches the Rfam family "Bacterial small subunit ribosomal RNA", at positions 523 to 796 of the family's 1533-position model. The record is from RNAcentral.
AUACGAAGGGGGCUAGCGUUGUUCGGAAUUACUGGGCGUAAAGCGCGUGUAGGCGGAUCGUUAAGUCAGGGGUGAAAGCCCGGGGCUCAACCCCGGAACUGCCCUUGAUACUGGCGAUCUAGAGUCCGGAAGAGGUGGGCGGAAUUCCCGGUGUAGAGGUGAAAUUCGUAGAUAUCGGGAGGAACACCAGUGGCGAAGGCGGCUCACUGGUCCGGUACUGACGCUGAGACGCGAAAGCGAGGGGAGCAAACAGGAUUAGAAACCCCAGUAGUCC